GAGUCUAAUCAAGAGAUGAAUCAACUAAAUCCUAACUUUAUAAGUUAGGAUUAGUUAAAGUUUAAACUCUAAGUGUAUGUAUUAGAGUUUAAUUUAAUGAACUCUAAGUAUAUAUAUUAGAGCUCAAUUGAUUUGAUCGGGUGAAACCUUGUAUAUGGUUUGAUCAAUUCUAAUUAAAUAUUUUAGAAUUUGAUCGAGUUUGAAUAUGUCAAGAUUUAGCUCUAGUUAUAUAUGCUAGAGAAAAGGUUUGAUAUGGGCUCAUUUGGAUUGGAAUUAAUUGGGUUGGGUUCGGCUUGGAUCAAUUUGGAUAAAUAAUUGGAUUGGGUUUGGUUUAAUUGUGUAGGUUGGCUAUUGGGUUUGGAUUCAGGUUUAACAUGGACUGGUUUCAUUUUGAUUUGGAUUU
Molecule: long non-coding RNA, 403 nt
Filed under: Ananas comosus (pineapple)
Lineage: Eukaryota; Viridiplantae; Streptophyta; Magnoliopsida; Poales; Bromeliaceae
Description: long non-coding RNA (ACOM_LNC005523)
Source: RNAcentral